This 253-nucleotide ribosomal RNA is filed under the name uncultured bacterium. RNAcentral's name for it is "partial 16S ribosomal RNA". It matches the Rfam family "Bacterial small subunit ribosomal RNA", at positions 524 to 776 of the family's 1533-position model. The record is from RNAcentral.
UACGGAGGGUGCAAGCGUUAUCCGGAUUCACUGGGUUUAAAGGGUGCGUAGGUGGGCAGGUAAGUCAGUGGUGAAAUCUCCGAGCUUAACUCGGAAACUGCCGUUGAUACUAUUUGUCUUGAAUAUUGUGGAGGUAAGCGGAAUAUGUCAUGUAGCGGUGAAAUGCUUAGAUAUGACAUAGAACACCAAUUGCGAAGGCAGCUUGCUAAACAAACAUUGACGCUGAGGCACGAAAGCGUGGGGAUCAAACAGG